This is a long non-coding RNA of Tribolium castaneum (red flour beetle), 440 nucleotides long. RefSeq lists it as uncharacterized. Lineage: Eukaryota; Metazoa; Arthropoda; Insecta; Coleoptera; Tenebrionidae. The record is from RefSeq and is a predicted model, not a curated record. The transcript has 2 exons.
GAGUUUCCUUAGUAAGUUCAGUGACAUUGUCAAGAUCGCUCAAAAUUCUCGUAACCAAUUUUGGAAAUGGAUUUCGAUUUUUGCGAUUUAACAAAUUACCAACAUCCUCCGUGUUUGUUUACACUGUGCUCAGAGAGAACGCAGGGCAAGGGAACCGGCUCCUGAGCCUGAACCACAACGACCUGAGCCUGAACCUGAACCUGAACCUGUUCAAGAACCUGCUCAAGAACCGGCUGACGAACCGCCUGCUGAACCAACUGAGGAAGAACCGCCAGAAGAAAGUCAACCAGCUGCUGAGGGCGACACUGGUGAAGGCAGCGAAGAGAAAAAGGAUGAAGAAGCCUAAAUUAUUAACUCAAAUUUGUGUUAGUUUUAUAUUAAAUCCAUUGUCAAAUCGUGAUUGUAAAAAUGAGUCCUAAUUAUAGUUUUUUUGAGUAAAA